AUUGAACGCUGGCGGCAUGCUUUACACAUGCAAGUCGAACGGUAACAGGCCUUCGGGUGCUGACGAGUGGCGAACGGGUGAGUAAUGCAUCGGAACGUGCCCAGAGGUGGGGGAUAACGCAGCGAAAGCUGUGCUAAUACCGCAUGUGAUCUGAGGAUGAAAGCGGGGGACCAGGCAGCAAUGUUUGGCCUCGCGCCUUUGGAGCGGCCGAUGUCAGAUUAGGUAGUUGGUGGGGUAAAGGCCUACCAAGCCGACGAUCUGUAGCUGGUCUGAGAGGACGACCAGCCACACUGGGACUGAGACACGGCCCAGACUCCUACGGGAGGCAGCAGUGGGGAAUUUCGGACAGUGGGCGCAAGCCUGAUCCAGCAAUGCCGCGUGCGGGAAGAAGGCCUUCGGGUUGUAAACCGCUUUUGUACGGAACGAAAAGGCUCUGGCUAAUACCUGGGGCUGAUGACGGUACCGUAAGAAUAAGCACCGGCUAACUACGUG
This 492-nucleotide ribosomal RNA is filed under the name uncultured bacterium. RNAcentral's name for it is "partial 16S ribosomal RNA". It matches the Rfam family "Bacterial small subunit ribosomal RNA", at positions 30 to 507 of the family's 1533-position model. The record is from RNAcentral.